Astatotilapia calliptera (eastern happy) is the source of this 1525-nucleotide long non-coding RNA. NCBI's taxonomy places the organism in Eukaryota, Metazoa, Chordata, Actinopteri, Cichliformes, Cichlidae. The record is from Ensembl.
CUGUGAUCUUUUGUGCUGACUCCGAAGGAGCCUGCAGUUUAUUGUGAAGCAGAAAAUAUCUGCGGACACCAUGAAUGGAGCGGAUUAUCUGCAGCAGCACAGCGCCGAGAGUCUGUCCUUCGAAGAGAUGCAGCAGAUUAACCCGCUCGGAGUCCAUCAGCAGCAGAAAGACGAGGGCAGCCAAACCUCCGAGAGCAAAGGGAACCAGAGUCAGAUUCCUCAUCUGUAUGCACAAACUCGGCCAAAUAAAGAUGACUCUGAAUCUGAACAGGCUUUGAUCCUGACAACUUAAGACAUACAUUACAGCAUCACUCAUUAAAAGGCCAGAAUCACCAUGGUGUUCAUGCCCUUGAUGAGUGGAUGGAAACUUCUGACCAGAACUGUAACCAUAGCAGUGUUUUCUUCUGACUGAACACUCAAAUUACUUUUUACUUGCUUUACAAGCCACAUUCACACAUUUACACACCACUUCUUACUGUGUGCCUUUGUGUGUCUGUGGAGCAGGGCAUCAAAUUAGCUCCACUUUUAAGGUGCAGCAGUCUAAGCACAGAAGCCCACGCGGUCUCUAAGGGCUGAUUUGGAUUUCUGUGGGGAGCUGGUGACGUAACCUACAUAAGUGGCUGACAUUUUUGCUGGCAUUUACACUUGUGCUGGUGCAUUAUGGGUUAGUUGCAGUUUGUCCCGGUGUUUCAUAUGUAGUGCCAGCCAACAGAAAUAAAUAAAAUACUGGGUCCUCACCUUUGUCAGAAAAACAUGUUUUUCCCUCUAGUUUUCCCCCAUUCUUUGUAGUUUCAGCAUUCUCCUUCCAGGAAUCUGCUGGUAUUUGUGAGUCGUUAUAUUGAUGCUGUAAUUAUUAUUCCUUGUAUCAAGACAGCGAUUGUUAUUCUCUCACUAAUCAACAGUGCUGAACAGAACAACCACAUUAGUUGGCAACUUUGACCUGACAUGUAGUUACAUUCCCCAGGAGGUGCAUGUCAGGAUUGCACACUUACACAGAGAGCAGAGACAUCCUUCAGAUGAGUCCUGUUUCUUCUUCUACUUUUAUCUGCAGUGUCAAUAUUUCACUUCUGUCACUGCCCACAGCUCGUUGCCAUAGGUGAGGGUAGCAGCAUAUCAUAGGAGUGCACCAAACAUAAUGAGAAAGACAGGGAAGGUUAUGAAAAAACCAUUAGCAAAUACACAAAUAAAAGUUGUUGUUGUUUUGUUUGUUUUUGCAGUUUUCAGUUUACAAGUCAGGUCCAUGCCAAAUAGCGCUAAUGGAUAUGUAACCAUGACAAUGUCAUACAAAGAAAAAAUGGACAUGUUUCUCUUGAAUUGGACUGAGUUGUAAUUUAUAUGCAGUUUAUUUUUCCUAACGUGUGACGUCUGUGUGUUCUUGAUGGUUUUGCUUGUUUGUUUAAACUUUUUUUAAUAUGUAAGUGACCUCAUUUCUUAUGUUUGUUUGUUUUUAUGCCUGUGAAGCUCUUUGAGCCUCUUUAUGUGAUUAUGUAUGAGGCAAAUAAAAAUGAAUUGGACUGAAUUGGAU